UGGAAGCCACGCGGAAGUUCCUAAGCCGGUAUUUGAAACGUAAACUCGUCGGCUAAAAUGGAAAUAACCGGCACCUGGAAACCUGGACUUGUCUUUUCGGAGCCACCUUUCCCGCCAUCACCUCUGUGUCUCCGGGCUCCCAUAAUCGUCCCUAUGGUCUGCCGGUCGUGUGGUUGCCUGCAGAGCGCCUUCUGGACCCCCGGCUGCUUGAACCGCCAAUACCUUGUCAUUCCUCUUAGAGGGACCAGUGCGGUGCUGUGAAUAGAACCAUCACAGUGGAGACGCCCAGUGCUGCACUGUACCCAUAGGAAACAACUCUGGCGCGCAGAUUUUCUCAUUAACUCCAAUGACGACGUCGCUGCACACAUCUCCAACCAGUUUAUGCACAGCUCCAAUUCUGUGCAGGGAGGAUGCAAAACAGCAAACUCUCCGCGGUAGGACUUUCUGGAGCAUCAAUACUACUACAAGAUUUGGAAGAAAUGAAGUCAUUUCCAAGGAGCAUCUCCUCUCCCUGAUAAACAUGAAAGACGAGAGAAAAGAGCAGGAGGGGAGAAGUACCCUGGGACAACAGUCCGGUCUCUGAAGAUUCCCCCAGGUUGGGACAGAGGACCUGCCUGCCGCCAGGACCAGCCUCUCCUCUUAAUCUCCCAGUGGCACCGAGCCAUCCUUUAAGCUCACCAUUUAAUUUUUUUUUAAUGUUCUUUGAGAGACAGGGAGAGACAGUGGGAACAGGGGAGGGUCAGAGAGAG
Long non-coding RNA from Suricata suricatta (meerkat), 749 nucleotides. RefSeq lists it as uncharacterized. The record is from RefSeq and is a predicted model, not a curated record. The transcript is spliced from 3 exons. Lineage: Eukaryota; Metazoa; Chordata; Mammalia; Carnivora; Herpestidae.